UAGUGGCGAACGGGUGAGUAACACGUGGGCAAUCUGCCCUUCACUCUGGGACAAGCCCUGGAAACGGGGUCUAAUACCGGAUACCACUCCUGCCCGCAUGGGUGGGGGUUGAAAGCUCCGGCGGUGAAGGAUGAGCCCGCGGCCUAUCAGCUUGUUGGUGGGGUAAUGGCCCACCAAGGCGACGACGGGUAGCCGGCCUGAGAGGGCGACCGGCCACACUGGGACUGAGACACGGCCCAGACUCCUACGGGAGGCAGCAGUGGGGAAUAUUGCACAAUGGGCGAAAGCCUGAUGCAGCGACGCCGCGUGAGGGAUGACGGCCUUCGGGUUGUAAACCUCUUUCAGCAGGGAAGAAGCGAAAGUGACGGUACCUGCAGAAGAAGCGCCGGCUAACUACGUGCCAGCAGCCGCGGUAAUACGUAGGGCGCAAGCGUUGUCCGGAAUUAUUGGGCGUAAAGAGCUCGUAGGCGGCUUGUCACGUCGGAUGUGAAAGCCCGAGGCUUAACCUCGGGUCUGCAUUCGAUACC
This 527-nucleotide ribosomal RNA is filed under the name Streptomyces sp. 303B02. RNAcentral describes it as "bacterial SSU rRNA". It matches the Rfam family "Bacterial small subunit ribosomal RNA", at positions 93 to 634 of the family's 1533-position model. The record is from RNAcentral. Lineage: Bacteria; Bacillati; Actinomycetota; Actinomycetes; Kitasatosporales; Streptomycetaceae.